This 29-nucleotide non-coding RNA is filed under the name Mus musculus (house mouse). The record is from RNAcentral. Lineage: Eukaryota; Metazoa; Chordata; Mammalia; Rodentia; Muridae.
UCUGCCUAUAGGUUCUGUGAUGGUAUAUC